GGCAGUGAGACUGCGGAUGCUAAGGUCCGUAGUCGAAAGGGAAAGAGCCCAGACCAUCAGCUAAGGUCCCUAAAUCGUGUCUAAGUGGCGAAGGUUGUGGAACUACUUUGACAUCCAGGAGGUUGGCUUAGAAGCAGCCACCCUUUAAAGAAAGCGUAAUAGCUCACUAGUCGAGUCGGCCUGCGCGGAAGAUGUAACGGGGCUAAGCAAUAUACCGAAGCUGCGGAUACGUGUUUACACGUAUGGUAGGGGAGCGUUGUGUAAGUGGAUGAAGGUGAAUCGAGAGGUUUGCUGGACAUAUCACAAGUGCGAAUGCUGACAUGAGUAACGAUAAUGCGGGUGAAAAACCCGCACACCGAAAACCCAAGGUUUCCUACGCAACGCUAAUCGGCGUAGGGUUAGUCGGCCACUAAGGCGAGGCAGAAAUGCGUAGUCGAUGGGAACCAGGUCAAUAUUCCUGGGCCGGGAGGUGGUGACGAAUUCCGUAUAUGGUUAGUCCUUAUUGGAUUGGACUAGCUGAGAAGGAGUUCCAGGAAAUAGCCCCUCCAUAACGACCGUACCCUAAACCGACACAGGUGGACAGGUAGAGUAUACCAAGGCGCUUGAGAGAACUAUGCUGAAGGAACUCGGCAAAAUGCUCCCGUAAGUUCGCGAGAAGGGAGACCUCAAUUUGGGCAACCAGAUUGGGGUGGCACAGACCAGGGGGUGGCGACUGUUUAUUAAAAACACAGGGCUCUGCGAAGUCGCAAGACGACGUAUAGGGUCUGACGCCUGCCCGGUGCCGGAAGGUUAAAAGGAGUGGUGCAA
RNAcentral lists this ribosomal RNA (807 nucleotides) under Trieres chinensis. RNAcentral's name for it is "partial Bacterial large subunit ribosomal RNA". It matches the Rfam family "Bacterial large subunit ribosomal RNA", at positions 979 to 1896 of the family's 2925-position model. The record is from RNAcentral. Lineage: Eukaryota; Bacillariophyta; Thalassiosirophyceae; Eupodiscales; Parodontellaceae.